AGCAUUUUGAUUUCAAUGGUUUGAUUUAGGAGGAAACAGUUGCAGUGAAUUAUUAAAAUUUACUUUAAGCACCUGAAUAAAUUAAUAUAGAUUUGUUUUGAUAGCAGCAGUUGAAAUUUGGCAGGGACUGUAACGAUAUGCUGAUUUGCUUCUAUAAGAGCUAAUGCUGAUUCAUUUGAGAUCUUCACAAGACCUUUUAUAUAAUCUUUCUUGAGUAUUAUAUUUUUUUCCUCCAAUACAGUAUAGUUUAUUUUAACUAUGAAUGGAUGAUGCAAUUUGAUAAGAACAUAUUCCAUAUGAAGUUGAACCUUGAGGUCAUUUUCCUUAAUUUUUUUUAAAAUUGCUGACAUUAUGUCCAUGUUCUGCUAGGUUCCCUGUUUCUGUUACGACAGAAAGGACAACUGAUGGUUGUGAUGGUGCAUGCCCCCCACAUCCCUUCCUUGUUCUGCACUAUGAUUUCACAAAUGCUCAUUAGGCCUUGGCCUUGACAAAUAGCACUAGAACUAAGCUCCUCUUGAGCCUCUCAGAAACACUGUCAGCUCCCAGCAUCUAGUUCUGUAUAAUGAGCUCCUGUUUUUUGACAAACAGCUUUGGUAACUUAAAUUUCUUGCCUGAGUAACAGCCCAAGUGAAACAACAUUUUUGUUAUUGAACUUUCAAAGAAAGUUUGGAACCCAAAUUGCUGCCAGGAUGGAAUAUUACUAUGUCUGAAUCCAGUGCUCUUGCAACCGUUUGAACAGCAGUUCUAAGUGAGAUGCUCUGAGCUCUCCAGGACCACAGAUUCCAGCAAUUUAUGUUUUUGAGAUGGAGUUUUCUUGAUUCCCAUUGGAACAAAAAGAUUCUGUCAUUAGCGAGAUACUUGUGUGACCUUCAGAGCUGUGUCUCCAAUUUCUUCCUAGCUUCUUGCUGGUCUGUUCAGCCUGCAGUCUUUUGGGACAAUGAUGAGCUACAUAUUUCUCGAGCGCAAAAUAGAAAAAUAAGGUGCUACUCUCAGUUGUAAUACAAAUAUAAUUCUAACACAA
This is a non-coding RNA of Taeniopygia guttata (zebra finch), 1021 nucleotides long. NCBI's taxonomy places the organism in Eukaryota, Metazoa, Chordata, Aves, Passeriformes, Estrildidae. The record is from RefSeq and is a predicted model, not a curated record.